AUUGAACGCUGGCGGAAUGCUUUACACAUGCAAGUCGAACGGCAGCACGGGGGCAGCCCUGGUGGCGAGUGGCGAACGGGUGAGUAAUACAUCGGAACGUGCCCGGUCGUGGGGGAUAACGUAGCGAAAGUUACGCUAAUACCGCAUACGAUCUGAGGAUGAAAGCGGGGGACCUUCGGGCCUCGCGCGAUCGGAGCGUCCGAUGUCAGAUUAGGUAGUUGGUGGGGUAAAGGCCUACCAAGCCGACGAUCUGUAGCUGGUCUGAGAGGACGACCAGCCACACUGGGACUGAGACACGGCCCAGACUCCUACGGGAGGCAGCAGUGGGGAAUUUUGGACAAUGGGCGCAAGCCUGAUCCAGCCAUUCCGCGUGCAGGACGAAGGCCUUCGGGUUGUAAACUGCUUUUGUACGGAACGAAAAGGCUCUGGCUAAUACCUGGGGCUCAUGACGGUACCGUAAGAAUAAGCACCGGCUAACUACGUG
RNAcentral lists this ribosomal RNA (484 nucleotides) under uncultured bacterium. Its description in RNAcentral is "partial 16S ribosomal RNA". It matches the Rfam family "Bacterial small subunit ribosomal RNA", at positions 30 to 507 of the family's 1533-position model. The record is from RNAcentral.